RNAcentral lists this ribosomal RNA (351 nucleotides) under Acartia tonsa. Its description in RNAcentral is "partial 16S ribosomal RNA". The record is from RNAcentral. Lineage: Eukaryota; Metazoa; Arthropoda; Copepoda; Calanoida; Acartiidae.
CUUAUUUUUUGAUUAAUAUAUUUUCUGCUCAAUGAAAAAUUUUAAUAGCCACUAUAGUGCUAAGGUAGCAUAAUAAUUUGUUUUUUAAUUGAAAAAUUGAAUGAAAGAAUUCACCAGAGACAAAUUAUUUAAUUAAAAAAAUAGAAUUUUAAUUUGAAUGAAAAAUUUCAAAUUUUUCUUUAAGGCGAUAAGACCCUAUGAACCUUUAUUUCUUGAUUACAUAAGAAAUUUAUUUGGGGUAAAUAAAAAUAAAAAUAUUUUGAUUUAAAUUGAUCUUAACUAAACUAAAUGAAAAAGGUACUCUAGGGAUAACAGCGUUAUAAUCAUUAAAGCCCUUAUUAAAAUGAUUGU